GUUAAUAGGCUAAUCUUAAAAUACAUUACAAAUUAUGAAUAUAUUUUUAUAGCAGACUUAAAAGUGGCUAUCAGUGCACUUCGCCCAGCCCGAAUCAUUUUAUUUUUCUAUAAUCUUCUUAUAUUAGUGAUAUGAUUACAAACCUUCCAUACAAGAGUUCAAAGUUCAAACAGCAAGCUACCUUAACAAAGCCUCUCAAAUACCUAGAUCAAGCUUUAUUUAUUUAAAACAGCAGCGGAUCUAGAAUAUUUAUUUGAAAAUACCUAAUAUUACUACACCAUUUUGUAAAGAUGCUGCUAAUAUAGUAAAAAUGUAAAAGUUUCAAUUAUAUAUAUUUUGAGUCAAGAUAACGAGUAUCUGAAGCUCGCAUUUACUCUCUAAAUGAUAUCUCUCCCCGUGUCCAAGAUCAUUGGUGUUGAUGGGGUGAUUGAUGGUGGCGUAGAUGGUGUGAGACAGGAGGUCAGACAACCGAUACCACUAGUCGCACAACCUUGAUAGCAAGUAACCGAUGGAGGUGGCGGGCCGCAACUGAUGACACAAGUGAUUGCUUGUUGGCCACAAUUAAUGAUACAUAGCCCAAUAUUUUGGCUUUGGGCAUGGUGGAUUAUGGUACAUGCAACAAGGAGAAAAACCAAAGAUAGAGAAUGAAUUGGUGAAGUUUUUGCAAGAAUGGCCAUUGUAGAAUAUGAAUUUGAAGUUGCAUUAUUAUUCGUGAGUUUAUAUAAAGGACCAUGUAAACUCUUGUUUGAUGCCUU
Molecule: long non-coding RNA, 755 nt
Filed under: Nicotiana benthamiana
Lineage: Eukaryota; Viridiplantae; Streptophyta; Magnoliopsida; Solanales; Solanaceae
Description: long non-coding RNA (NBEN_LNC012983)
Source: RNAcentral